CCCCGCCCCCCCUCGUCCUCUGAAUCCUCCUCUCUGUCCUUCUCAGUGCCGUCAGGAGCGGACGAGGUUGCCGAAUGUCCAGCAUGUGAUGGAAGGCCUUGCCGGAUGGGGACCCCCGGGGACCAGAGCCCGGAACCACCUCCAACCUGCCAUGGAAGGCCACCCGGACGCCUUCCCUCCUUGGAGGGGCUGCACAUUAAUCCCCUGCUGUGCUGAGCUGUGUUUCCCCAGAUUCAGAUGUUGAAACUCUGGCCCCCAGAACCUCGGAAUGUGACUGUGUUUGGAGAUGGGGCCUUUACAGAGGAGAUUAAGGUAAAAUGAGGCCGAUGGGGUGCGCUCUGAUCCAAUCUGACUGGUGUCCCUAUAAGAAGAGGAGAUCAGGACACAGACCCCGGGAGGACGUGGGGAGACAGCCCUCUGCACUCGGAGGAGAGAGGCCUCACAGGAACCCUGAUCUCAGACUUCCGGCCUCCAGGACUGGGAGGAAACUGACUUCUAUUGUAUAAGCCCCGGGUCUGUGGCACUCUGUUACGGGCGCCCCAGGCCAACUGCACACCCGGCACUCGCUCUGCACCCACCACCCCAAGAGAGGCCAUGAGAUGGCCUCUGGCCUCUGAUGGCCAUGAUCCAUGAGGACCACCCCUGCUUGGUGUCCUUGAAGGCAUCCCGCAGAGUCGGGAUUUGCAGAUGCUUCUAAUUAUGUGAUGUGACCAGACGGCCUAGCCCUGAGCUCUUCUACAACAAGUGAGAGCCAGCCCCCCAUACUCCGGCCCCUCCAGCGAUACGUGCUUUUGCUUAUUCAUUUUUGCCAGCGUGACGCAUGCCCGGCCAUAUCUCACCUCUGAAGAAGCCAGAUGCCCUCCCCAGGCCCCCUUCCGGCAGGUGCACGGCCCCUGCUGCCCAGGGUUCUCUGAGGCCUCCUGGGAGGUCACCCUUGGGGCGGUGACCCAUGCUGAGGUGGGCAGAUUGGCCUGCUCCCUGCUCCCUGAGGCCGUCUCCCGAGAGCCCUCUCCACAGGCCUCUCGCACAAGGACCCCGUCCCAGCCUCUGCUCCCUGGACGCUGACCCGGUGUCUGUGAUUCUCACGUCCCUGACGCCAGCGAAUCUGGACGUUCCCAAGCCUAACAGCUCCUGGAUUUGCUCGGUGGAUCGCCCGGUCACAGCC
Molecule: long non-coding RNA, 1165 nt
Organism: Physeter macrocephalus (sperm whale)
Lineage: Eukaryota; Metazoa; Chordata; Mammalia; Artiodactyla; Physeteridae
Exons: 3
Source: RefSeq, a predicted model, not a curated record